RNAcentral lists this ribosomal RNA (373 nucleotides) under uncultured organism. RNAcentral's name for it is "partial 16S ribosomal RNA". It matches the Rfam family "Bacterial small subunit ribosomal RNA", at positions 527 to 896 of the family's 1533-position model. The record is from RNAcentral.
GUAGGUGGCAAGCGUUAUCCGGAAUUAUUGGGCGUAAAGCGCGCGCAGGCGGUUUCUUAAGUCUGAUGUGAAAGCCCACGGCUCAACCGUGGAGGGUCAUUGGAAACUGGGGAACUUGAGUGCAGAAGAGAAAAGCGGAAUUCCACGUGUAGCGGUGAAAUGCGUAGAGAUGUGGAGGAACACCAGUGGCGAAGGCGGCUUUUUAGGUCUGUAACUGACGCUGAGGCGCGAAAGCGUGGGGAGCAAACAGGGAUUAGAUACCCUGGUAGUCCACGCCGUAAACGAUGAGUGCUAAGUGUUAGAGGGUUUCCGCCCCUUUAGUGCUGCAGCUAACGCAUUAAGCACUCCGCCUGGGAGUACGGUCGCAAGACUG